RNAcentral lists this small RNA (278 nucleotides) under Colletotrichum orchidophilum. Its description in RNAcentral is "A. fumigatus sRNA Afu_309". It matches the Rfam family "A. fumigatus sRNA Afu_309". Lineage: Eukaryota; Fungi; Ascomycota; Sordariomycetes; Glomerellales; Glomerellaceae. The record is from Rfam by way of RNAcentral.
CUUUCUUCAACAAACACGGGCCUGUGCCCAGAAUUCCUCUGCUCCUGCGGGAGUUCAGGGUCGAGUUCUGUGGCAGCUCGAUCGUCCAAGGAGCCAUCAAAUUCAUGAUGUCAAUCUUCCGAUCGACAGGUUCAAGAGUGACCGGUCUUGAGGCAGCCAUGUUCGCCGUCAAAAGCUUGAGCGUGGUGUAAUCUUGCACUGGGGACGUCAUAUUCCUACCCCUUUUUCCGAGAUCGUCGAUCUAUGAGGUUAGGGAAAACCAUGACUUGCCCACAAAC